AAUUGUUGAAUUUCAGUGUUCAUUUAUUUACACAUACACAUAACACUCAUCUACUCAUUGUUGAGUUAAGGGUUGAAUUGUCCAUACUUGUUCUAUUCUCUGUCACUAUUUUUCUAACCAUGCUGAACACCCUCUCUGAUGAUGCAUUGCUGUGUGGCAUGCACAAAAGUGCUUUCAUCAAAUGCACUAGAGUCUAGAAUCUUCCAUCUCUCCCUAGUAUGUACAGUAGAUUGCAGUAUUGUCCUGUUUAAGAGUGUCACAACAUUGCUGUUUACGGCAGACGAACUGCUUUACGGUAGACAAAAACGUGACUGCAGUUGUUGUGUGUUGUUACCGUGCUUGGAGGACGUUAAUGAAACUGCCUAACAAUAAACCGACAUAAGAAACCAACAACUCGCCCUUGAUCAUUCUACAGUUGUAAUGUAAAUGGAGCUAGACACGCUGUUUUUAUAUUGUGGGAAAGCGGAUGUGAAAACAGGCAGUCCUCACUCAGGUCCGCAUGGAGCUGGAGGGGGCGUGGCCUCCAGCUCCGCCUGAAUUUCUGGAGAUUUUCGGGAGAAAAUUUGUCCCGGGAGGUUUUCGAGAGAGGCGCUGAAUUUCGGGAGUCUCCCGGAAAAUCCGGGAGGGUUGGCAAGUAUGGUGUGUUCAUACAUGAAACAUUUUGCAUUACUCAUCACAUUAAUCCCAGUGGAACCUCUGUUUUUUACGAACUUAAUUUUUUCUUGAGCGGGUUUCUUAAAUACGAAGGUUUGUAUAGUAAAGCCAAAUUCUCCAUAAGAAACAAUGCAAACACAAUAUGAAGUGCUAAACAGUACUGUACUGUAUAGCAAACAAACAUAAUCAACUUUCCCGUUUAUUAACAAGCUGAACAGUGCUGUAUAUGCUGCUCUGCCAACAUGCGCACACACAGAAGUCAUGUUGAUGCCCUCACAAACGAUCAGAAAUCACAAAAAAAAUGAACUUUAACAACCAUACUGCCACAAUAAUAUACAUUUUAAAAAAAGUAAAAUCCAACAAUAUUAACAUUGGUAAGGAGUUAAAGAGACAGAGAGAGAAGAAAGUAGGGCGGCGGGUUUGUGUGUGGGCUCUUAGUAUUUAGAUAUAAGUCCGCAGUGCGAAGCUUGCUUCGUCAAUUCUUCCAUACUUGCGAGCGCCAUUAAUGUACUCUUCGCAAAAUGUUUUAUUUUUAUUACACAGUGAUUCCUUCCUUCUUUUCACGCUCGUCUGUCGAGUUUUUAAGACUCAUAUUUACUUGACAAAAAAAACAAAACUUGUCAGAAACGCAAAAAAAACACAGGGAAAAAAAGCACACAAGGUGAAGUGUCGAGACUGACUAGUAAAUUAGUCAACGUGCAGCAAGUGACUUAAAUGUUGCGCCCUGCUUUUUGCUUGCAGCCGGAAGAAAAUAAAUAAAUAAAUAAAUAAAUAAAGCGUUCGCACACAAAGGCACAUUUUGUUUGGUCUAAAAGUUUGUAAAUUGAAAAGUUUCCAAAUUGAGGGGUUCCUAAAUUAAGGUUCCACUGUAGGUGAGACAAUAUUUGAAAACUCUUAUCUAUUUCGAUUAUCUUAAUGAGACUAUAAGAUUAUCUAUAAUGGACGCUUAAUUUGCGAAUGUAAUGAAAAAAGGCACCAAAAUGGAUGAUAUGAUCCCACUCCAUAUUACUCGUGUUUACCGUUCGCCUCCCGGUAACAGUUCGAGACGCUACCUCAGUAGAAGCAUUUAAGUAUCACCUUAAAACUCAUUUGUAUACUCUAGCCUUUAAAUAGACUCCCUUUUUAGAACAGUUGAUCUGCCGUUUAAUUUCUUUUUCUCCUAUGUCCCACUCUCCCUUGUGGAAGGGGUCCGGUCCGGUGGCCAUAGAUGAAGUACUGGCUGUCCAGAGUCGGGACCCAGGAUGGACCGCAUAUGUGGUCCUCUCCAAGGUUUCUCAUAGUCAUCAUCGUCAACGACGUCCCACUGGGUCUUUACAGAUGCCACGCCACCUCUGCAGGCAAAGACAUCUACUGCGGUCAAGCCUUUGCCCAAAUUACAUGCAUCUUGUCGUGAAAGGUAUAUGCCAUUUGCAAAAACAACCGCCAGAAACACCUGCCCAUCACCCGGCAGUACAUAAAGAUGCCCGACAUCAUGUGAAGUCUCUGGUCAAAGGUGGAGUCAGAUGUGUCGACCUCAAAACAAAAUUGAGAAGAAGUGUUAGGAUGAGCAAGACGCAGUGCAAACGUGAACAACAAUUUGAGUCCAUCAACUUUCGAAAAACAUAAAAACCUUUGGAAGUACUAUUUAGAGGUGGGAGUGGAUUUUCGUAAGAUUAUUGCAUUUUUUGUAAUACUACAUCAAAAAAUAAAAUUCUUGAAACUUUUUCGUAAAAUACUUUAUUCUAUUUACCAUUUUAGAAUAAUUUAUUAUUAUUAUAUAUAAUAUUUUUUGCCGUAUGUUGACUUUAUUCUCAUAGUUACAACUAGGGGGUGGUGGUUCAAUAGUUACACUAUAGAAAAGAGUCAGUCAAUUUUACAGUAAACUUGCAGCUCAAUCACCAGAAUUUUACUGUAAAAUUUACAGUGGACCGUUUUUCCAUUAACUUUAUUGCACCGUAAAAACAUCAGCUGUAGAUUUUAAGUUAAAAAACUUGGCAGCUCAAUUUCAAUUCUAUUUAUUUGGAACAUGUUAAAACUUCACAAGCACACAUUUUGCUCAAGUGAUUAACCGUCCAAAAUGAGUGGGAAGAAGCAAAACUUGUCUGGUCCCACCCCGGGGGCAUAAUCAGCAGGGGGGAAAAAUAAAAAUAAAAUACUAAUAGUAAAGUGCAGUCGUCAGAGUUUUACUGUAGAAAUACAAGUGGUACCGUUUGUCAAUGUAUAAAUAAUGCACUGUAAAAACAACUAGAAUUCACUACUAAAAAACUGCAGUAAAGUUACCAGAAUUUUAUUGUAAAAAUAACAAUGUUACUGUUUUUACAUUUAGAAUAAUGCUCUAAGAAUGAUCAUAGAUUCUAUGGUAAUUAACUAGUAGAUCAGUAACCAGAAUUUUACUGUAAAAAAAAACAGUGGUGUCGUUUUUCCAUUUCCAGUAAUGUGCUGUGAAAAUAACAAACUUAAAUUUUGUAGUAAAAAUCAUUUUACCGUAAAAAGAAUAGUGGUACAGUUUUUCAAUUUACAGUAAUGAGCUGUAAAAACUGUUGUAGAUUUUACAGUAAAA
Nerophis ophidion (straightnose pipefish) is the source of this 3193-nucleotide long non-coding RNA. RefSeq lists it as uncharacterized. Lineage: Eukaryota; Metazoa; Chordata; Actinopteri; Syngnathiformes; Syngnathidae. The transcript has 4 exons. The record is from RefSeq and is a predicted model, not a curated record.